Molecule: ribosomal RNA, 328 nt
Filed under: uncultured eukaryote
Lineage: Eukaryota
Description: partial 18S ribosomal RNA
Rfam family: Eukaryotic small subunit ribosomal RNA
Source: RNAcentral
CCCUUAGAUGUCCUGGGCCGCACGCGCGUUACACUGAUGCAUUCAACGAGCUUAUAACCUUGGCCGAGAGGCCUGGGCAAUCUUGUUAACGUGCAUCGUGAUAGGGAUAGAUUAUUGAAAUUAUUAAUCUUGAACGAGGAAUUCCUAGUAAACGCAGAUCAUCAAUCUGCAUUGAGUACGUCCCUGCCCUUUGUACACACCGCCCGUCGCACCUACCGAUUGGAUGGUCCGGUGAAGCCUCGGGAUUGUGGUUCUUGCCGCUUUAUUGUGGCGUGACCGCGAGAACUUGUCUAAACCUUAUCAUCUAGAGGAAGGUGAAGUCGUAACA